Molecule: ribosomal RNA, 399 nt
Filed under: uncultured Pseudomonas sp.
Lineage: Bacteria; Pseudomonadati; Pseudomonadota; Gammaproteobacteria; Pseudomonadales; Pseudomonadaceae
Description: bacterial SSU rRNA
Rfam family: Bacterial small subunit ribosomal RNA
Source: RNAcentral
AACGCGAAGAACCUUACCAGGCCUUGACAUGCAGAGAACUUUCCAGAGAUGGAUUGGUGCCUUCGGGAACUCUGACACAGGUGCUGCAUGGCUGUCGUCGGCUCGUGUCGUGAGAUGUUGGGUUAAGUCCCGUAACGAGCGCAACCCUUGUCCUUAGUUACCAGCACGUUAAGGUGGGCACUCUAAGGAGACUGCCGGUGACAAACCGGAGGAAGGUGGGGAUGACGUCAAGUCAUCAUGGCCCUUACGGCCUGGGCUACACACGUGCUACAAUGGUCGGUACAGAGGGUUGCCAAGCCGCGAGGUGGAGCUAAUCUCACAAAACCGAUGUAGUCCGGACCGCAGUCUGCAACUCGACUGCGUGAAGUCGGAAUCGCUAGUAAUCGCAAAUCAGAAGGC